UGGGAGCUUGCUCCCUGAAGUCAGCGGCGGACGGGUGAGUAACACGUGGGCAACCUGCCUGUAAGACUGGGAUAACUCCGGGAAACCGGGGCUAAUACCGGAUAAUUCUUUCCCUCACAUGAGGGAAAGCUGAAAGAUGGUUUCGGCUAUCACUUACAGAUGGGCCCGCGGCGCAAUAGCUAGUUGGUGAGGUAACGGCUCACCAAGGCAACGAUGCGUAGCCGACCUGAGAGGGUGAUCGGCCACACUGGGACUGAGACACGGCCCAGACUCCUACGGGAGGCAGCAGUAGGGAAUCUUCCGCAAUGGACGAAAGUCUGACGGAGCAACGCCGCGUGAGUGAUGAAGGUUUUCGGAUCGUAAAACUCUGUUGUUAGGGAAGAACAAGUACCGGAGUAACUGCCGGUACCUUGACGGUACCUAACCAGAAAGCCACGGCUAACUACGUGCCAGCAGCCGCGGUAAUACGUAGGUGGCAAGCGUUGUCCGGAAUUAUUGGGCGUAAAGCGCGCGCAGGCGGUUCCUUAAGUCUGAUGUGAAAGCCCCCGGCUCAACCGGGGAGGGUCAUUGGAAACUGGGGAACUUGAGUGCAGAAGAGAAGAGUGGAAUUCCACGUGUAGCGGUGAAAUGCGUAGAGAUGUGGAGGAACACCAGUGGCGAAGGCGACUCUUUGGUCUGUAACUGACGCUGAGGCGCGAAAGCGUGGGGAGCAAACAGGAUUAGAUACCCUGGUAGUCCACGCCGUAAACGAUGAGUGCUAAGUGUUAGAGGGUUUCCGCCCUUUAGUGCUGCAGCAAACGCAUUAAGCACUCCGCCUGGGGGAGUACGGCCGCAAGGCUGAAACUCAAAGGAAUUGACGGGGGCCCGCACAAGCGGUGGAGCAUGUGGGUUUAAUUCGAAGCAACGCGAAGAACCUUACCAGGUCUUGACAUCUCCCUGACAACCCUAGAGAAUAGGGCGUUCCCCUUCGGGGGGACAGGAUGAACAGGUGGU
Molecule: ribosomal RNA, 993 nt
Filed under: Cytobacillus oceanisediminis
Lineage: Bacteria; Bacillati; Bacillota; Bacilli; Caryophanales; Bacillaceae
Description: bacterial SSU rRNA
Rfam family: Bacterial small subunit ribosomal RNA
Source: RNAcentral